Molecule: ribosomal RNA, 777 nt
Filed under: uncultured marine bacterium
Lineage: Bacteria
Description: bacterial SSU rRNA
Rfam family: Bacterial small subunit ribosomal RNA
Source: RNAcentral
GGCGAACGGGUGAGUAACGCGUAGGAAUCUACCUAGUAGAAGGGGAUAGCCCGAGGAAACUCGGAUUAAUACCGUAUACGUCCUUAGGGAGAAAGAGGGCUUAGCUUUGAUGCUCUCGCUAUUAGAUGAGCCUGCGUAAGAUUAGCUUGUUGGUGAGGUAAAGGCUCACCAAGGCGACGAUCUUUAGCUGGUCUGAGAGGACGAUCAGCCACAUUGGGACUGAGACACGGCCCAGACUCCUACGGGAGGCAGCAGUGGGGAAUAUUGGACAAUGGGCGCAAGCCUGAUCCAGCCAUACCGCGUGUGUGAAGAAGGCCUUCGGGUUGUAAAGCACGUUAAGUAAGGAAGAAAAGAGUAUUGUUAAUACCAUUACUCCGUGACAUUACUUACAGAAUAAGGACCGGCUAAUUCCGUGCCAGCAGCCGCGGUAAUACGGAAGGUCCAAGCGUUAAUCGGAAUUACUGGGCGUAAAGCGCGCGUAGGUGGUUUAUUAAGUUGGGUGUGAAAGCCCCGGGCUCAACCUGGGAACUGCAUCCAAAACUGAUUCACUAGAGUACGAAAGAGGAAAGUAGAAUUCACAGUGUAGCGGUGGAAUGCGUAGAUAUUGUGAAGAAUACCGAUGGCGAAGGCAGCUUUCUGGUUCUGUACUGACACUGAGGUGCGAAAGCGUGGGUAGCGAACAGGAUUAGAUACCCUGGUAGUCCACGCCGUAAACGAUGACAACUAGCUGUUGGGAAGCUAUGCUUUUCAGUGGCGCAGCUAACGUCUUAAGUUGUC